GGGGGGGGGGAGCUCAGGUGAAAGGAGAUGGAGAAGUGAGAAGCAAACCUCAAAAGUUCAGCAGUUAGCUGUUGUCCCGACCAAAGCUAUCAGGUCAUUCAAGCUGCGGACUAAGAAGGAGAGGGACAUCAGGCUUCGCACUCUCCUUAUGGAAUCGGCGCUGUCCCCAACUCCAGCACGCCUAGUGUACUUGGUGCCCGGCACCGCAUUUUUGGUGCGCAGUGAAGUCCCCUCCUCCAGCUGGCACCGCUCCUCCUCCAAGAAAGAGGGGAAGAGCUCCGCCUUGCAGUGGUGCCGAGGGAAGGAAAGGGGAAAGGCUGGUCCCGUGUCGGGCAGCCUUCGAUUUCUCCCCCCCGGCCCCAGGGCCUGAAGCCUCCAACUUGUGAUGAGUGGAGCAGCCCAGCACUGUCUGCACAUGCAUUUCCAGCAGUCAGGAUGCCAUCGACGGCAGAGGCUCUCCAGGCUGUGCGAGACAUUUUGAGUUUGAUGGUACCAGGGGCGCCACCGAUGACGGGCCCUCGGUCCCGCGGCAAGCCGCUGCUGGGUGCUUACCACUCUUUCGACGUGCAGUGGCCAGUCAUCUCAGCCCACGCCCGCCCUCGAUGCCAGUCAGGCUAACUGGUUCCCUGCCCGGGCGGGAGUCUCAAGGUCCCUCCACGCUGCGCAGUAGUGGACACAGGUGUUGUAGAUGCUCCUUCUCGCAUCGCAGCUACCGCAGCCAGUCCCGACACCAUCGACGUUGACAUUCCCGUUUGAAUUCCUGCUCUGCCAGAUGUCGCAGAUGGGACUCUCCUUGCAAUUCACCAACACCGAAGCAUUGCAGCCCCAGGCGCUGGGGCAAGUACUGGAGCAGCAUUUUCGACGGGUACCAAUCCUCGACGUUGAGGUCCUAGUUCCAUGGAAGAUGGCAUCACAGGCACCAUCGCUCCCGCCACUCCUAUGGGACUGUGUGGUCGAUGGUGACCUCAGCCUCGGCACCCAGCCGCCCAUCACCAGCUCGCGGGGCUCAGCCAGACCAGCUGGCACCACCAGGGCCCCAACUUGAACAGUGGCAGGGCCCUGUGGCAGGGACAGUGGUGCCAAUGGGCACUGUGGCCACAGAUGCUCACCCAGACGGGAACCUGUUCGGUGGCUGGGGCAUCCCAGACCCCAUUGGCCUCUCCAUCUCGGCCGAGGAACAAGUCACAAGUCAGCAGCUCCUUGCCCGGACUCCGACCUGGGGGUCGAUUCCUCAGUACUGCCGGAGGUCCACGGCUCCGGGCCGGCCAUCUCUCCGGCACUGGAUGACGCCAUAGCAGCACCGCCGCCUGUUAUGCCACAGGAGGAUUUCAAGCUGCAACAAGACCUGUUAAAGGGGGUGGCGUCCAACCUCCAGCUGCAGGCCGAGAAGACAGAGGGCCCGUGCGACACACUCUUUAAUGUGCUGUUGUCCUCGGCCCUGGGCCGUGUGGCUCUACCCCUCCACCAGGGAGUAGCCAACAUUUCCAGCACCUUGCGUCAAACUCCCUCUUCCUUGGCCCCUAUUUCCAAGAAGGCUGAGAGGAAGUACUUUGUGCUGGCUAAGGACCACGAGUACUUCUAUUCCCACCCAGUACCUAACUCUCUUGUGGUGGAAUUGGUUAACCACAGGGAAUAACAGGGCCAGCCCAUGCCCACCCCCCAAAAACAAAGACUCCAGGAGACUGGACUCCUUUGGUAGAAAGGUUUAUUCCUCUGCAAGUUUCCAGCUCAGGGUGACCAAUCAUCAGGCCUUACUUAGCUGAUAUGACUUUAACUUAUGGGGGUCUCUGCCAAAGUUUGAACCACUCCUCCCAGAGCAGCAGAGGAAGGAUUUCAAGGGUCUGGUGGAGGAAGGGGUGGCGGCAGCCAAAGCAACUCUCCAAGCAGUGGCCAAUACGGCAGCCCAUUUGAUGGCUUCCACCAUACCCAUGCUCAGGGAAUAGUGGUUGCUCCUGUCUGGGCUGUCGGCGGAGGCCCAGUCCAUCAUGCAGGACCUGCCAUUUGACAGAAAAGCAUUGUUUGCAGAUCAGACGGAUGUCCACCUGCAUGGGAUGAAGGAUUCCCCUACCACCCUGCAAACCUUGGGACUCUACGUUCCUCCGGCUAAGGACAAGGCAAGCCGCAAACAUCAGCUCAACCUGCGCAGAGCAGAUAUGAGCCGCCGUAUAAGAGGCUGAGAGACCAGAAGCAUCAGUCUCAGCAUCAGUCCCACUCUGCCCCACAGCCCAGGCCCUUCAAGGGAAAGAAGCAGGGAAAGAGGUGGUUUUGACUAUCUGCAGGGGGGUACCAGGGCAGUUGCCGGGGAGACCCCCCUAUUAAUUAAAUUAAUUAAAUUAAUUAAAUUAUUAAUUAAAGUUUGGUGUUCUUC
This is a long non-coding RNA of Dermochelys coriacea (leatherback sea turtle), 2368 nucleotides long. RefSeq lists it as uncharacterized. The transcript has 3 exons. The record is from RefSeq and is a predicted model, not a curated record. NCBI's taxonomy places the organism in Eukaryota, Metazoa, Chordata, Testudines, Dermochelyidae.